Molecule: transfer RNA, 61 nt
Filed under: Eoneureclipsis hainanensis
Lineage: Eukaryota; Metazoa; Arthropoda; Insecta; Trichoptera; Psychomyiidae
Description: tRNA-Cys
Source: RNAcentral
AAUCUUAUAUUCAAUAAUGAUUUUAAAUUGCAAAUUUAAAGGUGUAAUUAUACUAAGAUUU